AUGGUCUGGUUUCCUCUCCUCCUCACUCUCCUUGCACACUGCACAGGAUCCUGGGCUCAGUCUGUGCUGACUCAGCCACCCUCAGUGUCUUGGGCCACAAGGCAGAGGCUCACUGUCUCCUGCACUGGAAGCAGCUCCAACACUGGGACUGGCUAUAACGUAAACUGUUGGCAGUAGCUCCCAAGAACUGACCCCAAACUCCUCAGGCAUGGUGAUAAGAAUUGGGCCUCCUGGGUAUCUGACCAAUUCUCUGGUUCCAAGUCUGGCAGCUUGGCCUCCCUGGGCACCACUGGGCUCUGGGCUGAGGACAAGACUGAUUAUCACUGCCAGUCCCGUGACAUCUGCUGAGUGCUUGUACAGUGCUCCAGGCUUGCAGGGGAGUGAGACAAGAACCCCCUUCCUCCUUUCCCAGGAGGGUGAGUGCCCAGCAGCUACUGCACA
Molecule: long non-coding RNA, 441 nt
Filed under: Homo sapiens (human)
Lineage: Eukaryota; Metazoa; Chordata; Mammalia; Primates; Hominidae
Description: long non-coding RNA NONHSAT083742
Source: RNAcentral